GGGGUCAUAGCUCAGUUGGUAGAGCGUCUCGUUCGCAAUGAGAAGGUCGCAGGUUCGAAUCCUGUUGGCUCCACCA
Molecule: transfer RNA, 76 nt
Filed under: Pedosphaera sp.
Lineage: Bacteria; Pseudomonadati; Verrucomicrobiota; Pedosphaerae; Pedosphaerales; Pedosphaeraceae
Description: tRNA-Ala
Rfam family: tRNA
About the family: Transfer RNA (tRNA) molecules are approximately 80 nucleotides in length.
Source: RNAcentral